Molecule: unclassified non-coding RNA, 336 nt
Filed under: soil metagenome
Description: partial contains 5.8S ribosomal RNA, internal transcribed spacer 2, and large subunit ribosomal RNA
Rfam family: 5.8S ribosomal RNA (bases 1-120)
Source: RNAcentral
GAUGAAGAACGCAGCGAAAUGCGAUAAGUAAUGUGAAUUGCAGAAUUCAGUGAAUCAUCGAAUCUUUGAACGCACAUUGCGCCCGCCAGUAUUCUGGCGGGCAUGCCUGUUCGAGCGUCAUUUCAACCAUCAAGCCCCAGGCUUGUGUUGGGGACCUGCGGCUGCCGCAGGCCCUGAAAACCAGUGGCGGGCUCGCUGUCACACCGGGCGUAGUAGAUUUUAUCUCGCCCUGGGCGUGCUGCGGGUUCCGGCCGUUAAAAAACCCUUUUAACCCAAGGUUGACCUCGGAUCAGGUAGGAAUACCCGCUGAACUUAAGCAUAUCAAUAAGCGGAGGA